CUACGGGCGGCUCCAGCAGGGAAUAUUGCACAAUGGACGGAGGUCUGAUGCAGCGACGCCGCGUGGAUGAUGAAGGCCUUCGGGUUGUAAAAUCCUUUUCAGGGAGAAGAGGAAGGACGGUAUCCCUGGAAUAAGCGUCGGCUAACUACGUGCCAGCAGCCUCGGUAAUACGUAGGACGCAAGCGUUAUCCGGAUUUACUGGGCGUAAAGCGUCUGUAGGCGGUUUAGUAAGUUUGAUGUGAAAGCUCCAGGCUCAACUUGGAGAGUGCAUUGAAUACUGCUAGACUUGAGGGGAUCAGAGGAAAGCGGAAUUUCCGGUGUAGCGGUAAAAUGCGCAGAUAUCGGAAAGAACACCAGUGGCGAAGGCGGCUUUCUGGGAUCAACCUGACGCUGAGAGACGAAAGCUAGGGUAGCGAACAGGAUUAGAUACCCUGGUAGUC
This 440-nucleotide ribosomal RNA is filed under the name uncultured bacterium. RNAcentral's name for it is "partial 16S ribosomal RNA". It matches the Rfam family "Bacterial small subunit ribosomal RNA", at positions 339 to 795 of the family's 1533-position model. The record is from RNAcentral.